RNAcentral lists this ribosomal RNA (580 nucleotides) under Sabuloglossum arenarium. Its description in RNAcentral is "eukaryotic LSU rRNA". The stretch from base 212 to 365 matches the Rfam family "5.8S ribosomal RNA". The record is from RNAcentral. Lineage: Eukaryota; Fungi; Ascomycota; Geoglossomycetes; Geoglossales; Geoglossaceae.
UCUUGGUCCAAUUAGAGGAAGUAAAAGUCGUAACAAGGUUUCCGUAGGUGAACCUGCGGAAGGAUCAUUACUGAGCUAGGGUCUUUAUGGCCCAACCUCCAACCCCGUGUGAACGAACGCAUGUUGCUUCGGUGGGCCUCGGUGCCUGCCGGAGAUCUGAAUAUACUCUUUUAGUUUGUGUCGUCUGAGUACCAUAUAACAAAAUUGUUAAAACUUUCAACAACGGAUCUCUUGGUUCCCGCAUCGAUGAAGAACGCAGCGAAAUGCGAUAAGUAAUGUGAAUUGCAGAAUUCAGUGAAUCAUCGAAUCUUUGAACGCACAUUGCGCCCCUUGGCAUUCCGAGGGGCAUGCCUGUUCGAGCGUCAUUGCACAUCUCAAGCCUGGCUUGGUGUUGGGUGUUCGUCCCCCCUUGGGUGGAUGCGCCUGAAAAUAAUUGGCGGUGCCAUCGUGGCCUCAAGCGUAGUAGAACUCUCUCGCUUUGGAGGGCUGUUGUGGCUCACCUGCCCACAAGACCAAAAAUUACAAAGGUUUGACCUCGGAUCAGGUAGGGAUACCCGCUGAACUUAAGCAUAUCAAUAAG